UGAAUGGGAGGUACACCUGUCAAACAGUAAUGCAGGUGUCCUAAGGCGAGCUCAGGGAGGACAGAAACCUCCCGUGGAGCAGAAGGGCAAAAGCUUGCUUGAUCUUGAUUUUCAGUAUGAAUACAGGCCAAGAAAGCAGGCCUCACGAUCCUUCUGACCUUUGGGGUCUUAAGCAGGGG
RNAcentral lists this non-coding RNA (179 nucleotides) under Erinaceus europaeus (western European hedgehog). RNAcentral's name for it is "Eukaryotic large subunit ribosomal RNA". It matches the Rfam family "Eukaryotic large subunit ribosomal RNA", at positions 2622 to 2802 of the family's 3401-position model. The record is from Rfam by way of RNAcentral. Lineage: Eukaryota; Metazoa; Chordata; Mammalia; Eulipotyphla; Erinaceidae.